This 399-nucleotide ribosomal RNA is filed under the name uncultured Actinomycetes bacterium. RNAcentral describes it as "bacterial SSU rRNA". It matches the Rfam family "Bacterial small subunit ribosomal RNA", at positions 952 to 1354 of the family's 1533-position model. The record is from RNAcentral. Lineage: Bacteria; Bacillati; Actinomycetota; Actinomycetes.
CGAUGCAACGCGAAGAACCUUACCUGGGCUUGACAUGCGGGGUGAAGCCGGUGAAAGCCGGCGCUCUACGGAGCCCGCACAGGUGGUGCAUGGCUGUCGUCAGCUCGUGCCGUGAGGUGUUGCCUUAAGUGGCGCAACGAGCGCAACCCUUGUCCCUAGUUGCCAGCGGGUAAAGCCGGGAACUCUAGGGAGACUGCCGGUGCCAAACCGGAGGAAGGUGGGGAUGAGGUCAAGUCAUCAUGCCCCUUAUGUCCAGGGCUGCACACAUGCUACAAUGCGUGGUACAGAGGGCUGCGAUCCCGCGAGGGGGAGCGAAUCCCAAAAAGCCACGCUCAGUUCGGAUCGGGGUCUGCAACCCGACCCCGUGAAGUCGGAGUCGCUAGUAAUCGCGGAUCAGCA